RNAcentral lists this ribosomal RNA (226 nucleotides) under uncultured bacterium. Its description in RNAcentral is "partial 16S ribosomal RNA". It matches the Rfam family "Bacterial small subunit ribosomal RNA", at positions 107 to 334 of the family's 1533-position model. The record is from RNAcentral.
UGAGUAACACGUAUCCAACCUGCCGUCUACUCUUGACAGCCUUCUGAAAGGAAGAUUAAUACAAGAUGGCAUCAUGAGUCCGCAUGUUCACAUGAUUAAAGGUAUUCCGGUAGACGAUGGGGAUGCGUUCCAUUAGAUAGUAGGCGGGGUAACGGCCCACCUAGUCUUCGAUGGAUAGGGGUUCUGAGAGGAAGGUCCCCCACAUUGGAACUGAGACACGGUCCAA